This 300-nucleotide ribosomal RNA is filed under the name uncultured Thalassospira sp. RNAcentral's name for it is "bacterial SSU rRNA". It matches the Rfam family "Bacterial small subunit ribosomal RNA", at positions 496 to 795 of the family's 1533-position model. The record is from RNAcentral. Lineage: Bacteria; Pseudomonadati; Pseudomonadota; Alphaproteobacteria; Rhodospirillales; Thalassospiraceae.
GUGAACUGCGGGCCGUUGUGGCGGGGAAUACGUAGUGGUGAAGUCGUCAUGGGAAUGUCUGGGCGGUAAGUGUGCUGAGGUGGUGUUUGAAGGCUGCUGUUAGAGCCCUGGGCGCAAGCGGGGAAUGGCGGUGGAAACUGAAAAGCUAGAGUGCGGUAGAGGAGGGUGGAAUUCCCGGUGUAGCGGUGAAAUGCGUAGAGAUCGGGAGGAACAUCAGUGGCGAAGGCGGCCCUCUGGACCAGCACUGACGCUGAGGCACGAAAGCGUGGGGAGCAAACAGGAUUAGAUACCCUGGUAGUC